UGGCUCUCGCAUCGAUGAAGAACGCAGCGAAACGCGAAAUGUAAUGUGAAUUGCAGAAUCUCUAGUGAAUCAUCGAAUCUUUGAACGCAUCUUGCGCCCAAUGGUAUUCCGUUGGGCAUGCCUGUCUGAGUGUCCCAAACCUUCUCAGUCGCUACUUUUUUGUCAUGAAAUUGUAAUCGAUCUGGAUUUUGAGUGUAGCUUUUUGGUUACGAAAAGCCACUUUAAUACAAAGGUCAACUUGUCAUUUUACGGUUUGACCGGGUGUUGUAAGAUCGCCUCAUUCGGGACGUAAUGAGAAGUUGUUUUUUUAGUGAUAUAGCGAUUUAGACCUCAGAUCAGGUAGGAUUACCCGCUGA
This 356-nucleotide unclassified non-coding RNA is filed under the name uncultured fungus. RNAcentral's name for it is "partial contains 5.8S ribosomal RNA and internal transcribed spacer 2". The stretch from base 1 to 135 matches the Rfam family "5.8S ribosomal RNA", at positions 22 to 154 of the family's 154-position model. Lineage: Eukaryota; Fungi. The record is from RNAcentral.